This 447-nucleotide ribosomal RNA is filed under the name uncultured bacterium. RNAcentral's name for it is "bacterial SSU rRNA". It matches the Rfam family "Bacterial small subunit ribosomal RNA", at positions 329 to 793 of the family's 1533-position model. The record is from RNAcentral.
CGCCAGACUCCUACGGGAGGCAGCAGUAGGGAAUCUUUCACAAUGGGCGAAAGCCUGAUGGAGCAACGCCGCGUGCAGGAUGAAGGCCUUCGGGUUGUAAACUGCUUUUAUAAGCGAGAAAUAUGAUGGUAACUUAUGAAUAAGGAUCGGCUAACUACGUGCCAGCAGCCGCGGUCAUACGUAGGAUCCGAGCAUUAUCCGGAGUGACUGGGUGUAAAGGGGGCGCAGACGGCGAUGCAAGCCAGGAGUGAAAGCCCGGGGCCCAACCCCGGGACUGCCCUUGGAACUGCGUGGCUAGAGUGCAGGAGGGGCAGGCGGAAUUCCUGGUGUAGCGGUGAAAUGCGUAGAUAUCAGGAGGAACACCGGUGGCGAAGGCGGCCUGCUGGACUGCAACUGACGUUGAGGCCCGAAAGCGUGGGGAGCAAACAGGAUUAGAUACCCGCGUAC